Molecule: ribosomal RNA, 446 nt
Filed under: uncultured bacterium
Lineage: Bacteria
Description: bacterial SSU rRNA
Rfam family: Bacterial small subunit ribosomal RNA
Source: RNAcentral
ACAUGCAAGUCGAACGAAGCACUUUGAUUCUUCGGAUUGAAGAGUGACUGAGUGGCGGACGGGUGAGUAACGCGUGGGUGACCUGCCUCAUACAGGGGGAUAACAGUUAGAAAUGACUGCUAAUACCGCAUAAGCGCACAGUACCGCAUGGUACGGUGUGAAAAACUCCGGUGGUAUGAGAUGGACCCGCGUCUGAUUAGCUAGUUGGUGAGGUAACGGGCCCACCAAGGCGACGAUCAGUAGCCGACUUGAGAGAGUGAUCGGCCACAUUGGGACUGAGACACGGCCCAAACUCCUACGGGAGGCAGCAGUGGGGAAUAUUGCACAAUGGGGGAAACCCUGAUGCAGCGACGCCGCGUGAGCGAAGAAGUAUUUCGGUAUGUAAAGCUCUAUCAGCAAGGAAGAUAAUGACGGUACUUGACUAAGAAGCCCCGGCUAACUACGUG